UCGCUGUGAUGGCGUUUGGCAGAAGCGCACUGUUCGUGCACUUUGCAAUGUUUGUUACAAUUGAAAGUGUCCGGUUCGAUCCCUGCGGUCGAGGGCCAGAAUGUUCGAGUAAUCAACAUUUCUCCCCUCAGCAAUGAGUAGCACUAUCACUGGAGGGAAGCAAUUCAGCACAGUAUGCUACCCGUGGUGGAGGCGAAGCGGAUGGCACAUUCGUUGGCUUUGGCAAAGGUUGUAGAGUGCCUAGUGAGGCGACUCCGAUUGUUUUU
RNAcentral lists this signal recognition particle RNA (266 nucleotides) under Sungouiella intermedia. Its description in RNAcentral is "Candida intermedia Fungal signal recognition particle RNA". It matches the Rfam family "Fungal signal recognition particle RNA". Lineage: Eukaryota; Fungi; Ascomycota; Pichiomycetes; Serinales; Metschnikowiaceae. The record is from Rfam by way of RNAcentral.